RNAcentral lists this ribosomal RNA (497 nucleotides) under uncultured bacterium. Its description in RNAcentral is "partial 16S ribosomal RNA". It matches the Rfam family "Bacterial small subunit ribosomal RNA", at positions 28 to 507 of the family's 1533-position model. The record is from RNAcentral.
GAUGAACGCUGGCGGCGUGCCUAAUACAUGCAAGUCGAGCGAACAGACGAGGAGCUUGCUCCUCUGACGUUAGCGGCGGACGGGUGAGUAACACGUGGAUAACCUACCUAUAAGACUGGGAUAACUUCGGGAAACCGGAGCUAAUACCGGAUAACAUAUUGAACCGCAUGGUUUAAUAGUGAAAGACGGUUUUGCUGUCACUUAUAGAUGGAUCCGCGCCGCAUUAGCUAGUUGGUAAGGUAACGGCUUACCAAGGCAACGAUGCGUAGCCGACCUGAGAGGGUGAUCGGCCACACUGGAACUGAGACACGGUCCAGACUCCUACGGGAGGCAGCAGUAGGGAAUCUUCCGCAAUGGGCGAAAGCCUGACGGAGCAACGCCGCGUGAGUGAUGAAGGUCUUCGGAUCGUAAAACUCUGUUAUUAGGGAAGAACAAAUGUGUAAGUAACUAUGCACGUCUUGACGGUACCUAAUCAGAAAGCCACGGCUAACUACGUG